Molecule: ribosomal RNA, 2267 nt
Filed under: Salmonella enterica subsp. enterica serovar Typhi
Lineage: Bacteria; Pseudomonadati; Pseudomonadota; Gammaproteobacteria; Enterobacterales; Enterobacteriaceae
Description: partial 23S ribosomal RNA
Rfam family: Bacterial large subunit ribosomal RNA
Source: RNAcentral
UCUUAACCGGGCGUUAAGUUGCAGGGUAUAGACCCGAAACCCGGUGAUCUAGCCAUGGGCAGGUUGAAGGUUGGGUAACACUAACUGGAGGACCGAACCGACUAAUGUUGAAAAAUUAGCGGAUGACCUGUGGCUGGGGGUGAAAGGCCAAUCAAACCGGGAGAUAGCUGGUUCUCCCCGAAAGCUAUUUAGGUAGCGCCUCGUGAAUUCAUCUCCGGGGGUAGAGCACUGUUUCGGCUAGGGGGCCAUCCCGGCUUACCAACCCGAUGCAAACUGCGAAUACCGGAGAAUGUUAUCACGGGAGACACACGGCGGGUGCUAAUGUCCGUCGUGAAGAGGGAAACAACCCAGACCGCCAGCUAAGGUCCCAAAGUCAUGGUUAAGUGGGAAACGAUGUGGGAAGGCCCAGACAGCCAGGAUGUUGGCUUAGAAGCAGCCAUCAUUUAAAGAAAGCGUAAUAGCUCACUGGUCGAGUCGGCCUGCGCGGAAGAUGUAACGGGGCUAAACCAUGCACCGAAGCUGCGGCAGCGACACCGUGUGUUGUUGGGUAGGGGAGCGUUCUGUAAGCCUGUGAAGGUGUGCUGUGAGGCAUGCUGGAGGUAUCAGAAGUGCGAAUGCUGACAUAAGUAACGAUAAAGCGGGUGAAAAGCCCGCUCGCCGGAAGACCAAGGGUUCCUGUCCAACGUUAAUCGGGGCAGGGUGAGUCGACCCCUAAGGCGAGGCCGAAAGGCGUAGUCGAUGGGAAACGGGUUAAUAUUCCCGUACUUGGUGUUACUGCGAAGGGGGGACGGAGAAGGCUAUGUUGGCCGGGCGACGGUUGUCCCGGUUUAAGCGUGUAGGUAUGUGUUCCAGGUAAAUCCGGUUCACUUUAACACUGAGGCGUGACGACGAGGCACUACGGUGCUGAAGCAACAAAUGCCCUGCUUCCAGGAAAAGCCUCUAAGCAUCAGGUAACAUCAAAUCGUACCCCAAACCGACACAGGUGGUCAGGUAGAGAAUACCAAGGCGCUUGAGAGAACUCGGGUGAAGGAACUAGGCAAAAUGGUGCCGUAACUUCGGGAGAAGGCACGCUGACACGUAGGUGAAGUGAUUUACUCACGGAGCUGAAGUCAGCCGAAGAUACCAGCUGGCUGCAACUGUUUAUUAAAAACACAGCACUGUGCAAACACGAAAGUGGACGUAUACGGUGUGACGCCUGCCCGGUGCCGGAAGGUUAAUUGAUGGGGUCAGCGCAAGCGAAGCUCCUGAUCGAAGCCCCGGUAAACGGCGGCCGUAACUAUAACGGUCCUAAGGUAGCGAAAUUCCUUGUCGGGUAAGUUCCGACCUGCACGAAUGGCGUAAUGAUGGCCAGGCUGUCUCCACCCGAGACUCAGUGAAAUUGAACUCGCUGUGAAGAUGCAGUGUACCCGCGGCAAGACGGAAAGACCCCGUGAACCUUUACUAUAGCUUGACACUGAACAUUGAGCCUUGAUGUGUAGGAUAGGUGGGAGGCUUUGAAGUGUGGACGCCAGUCUGCAUGGAGCCGACCUUGAAAUACCACCCUUUAAUGUUUGAUGUUCUAACGUGGACCCGUGAUCCGGGUUGCGGACAGUGUCUGGUGGGUAGUUUGACUGGGGCGGUCUCCUCCUAAAGAGUAACGGAGGAGCACGAAGGUUGGCUAAUCCUGGUCGGACAUCAGGAGGUUAGUGCAAUGGCAUAAGCCAGCUUGACUGCGAGCGUGACGGCGCGAGCAGGUGCGAAAGCAGGUCAUAGUGAUCCGGUGGUUCUGAAUGGAAGGGCCAUCGCUCAACGGAUAAAAGGUACUCCGGGGAUAACAGGCUGAUACCGCCCAAGAGUUCAUAUCGACGGCGGUGUUUGGCACCUCGAUGUCGGCUCAUCACAUCCUGGGGCUGAAGUAGGUCCCAAGGGUAUGGCUGUUCGCCAUUUAAAGUGGUACGCGAGCUGGGUUUAGAACGUCGUGAGACAGUUCGGUCCCUAUCUGCCGUGGGCGCUGGAGAACUGAGGGGGGCUGCUCCUAGUACGAGAGGACCGGAGUGGACGCAUCACUGGUGUUCGGGUUGUCAUGCCAAUGGCACUGCCCGGUAGCUAAAUGCGGAAGAGAUAAGUGCUGAAAGCAUCUAAGCACGAAACUUGCCCCGAGAUGAGUUCUCCCUGAGACUUUAGGUCUCCUGAAGGAACGUUGAAGACGACGACGUUGAUAGGCCGGGUGUGUAAGCGCAGCGAUGCGUUGAGCUAACCGGUACUAAUGAACCGUGAGGCUUAACCUU